This 190-nucleotide non-coding RNA is filed under the name Candidatus Zhuqueibacterota bacterium. RNAcentral's name for it is "candidate division KSB1 bacterium (marine sediment metagenome) 6S RNA". It matches the Rfam family "6S / SsrS RNA". Rfam says of the family: E. coli 6S RNA was the first non coding RNA to be sequenced, but its function was unknown until recently. It consists of 184 nucleotides that fold into an extended hairpin structure with a large single-stranded internal bulge. Lineage: Bacteria; Pseudomonadati. The record is from RNAcentral.
AAAUCCCUGUAAAUUGGGUGUGGUUUUGAAAUCAAAGAGCUAAUACCUUUAAUUAGGGAGCUUAGCUCUGGGCGUGUAUUGCAAGCCUCACCCCGACCCGUCGGGGUAGUGGACGCAAAAAACGUUCAGGCGGCACCCACCGUGUCGAACGCGGUUCUUUGAUCCGGCCACACCGAAUAGCAGGGAUUUU